UAUAAGUUUUAUCAACAAUAAAAAUUACUUAUAAACGCAUUAUUAAAUUACUGAGACACUUGCUUUUAUGCACCUAAAUUAUAUAAUUUUUAAAUACACAACUACAAAAUCAUCCCACAACAAAAAUAUACACUUUUGUAUGGGUAAAGCUGACUCACCAUUUUGAAUGAAUCAACUAUUUACAGGCGUUUAAGAAUGUUUGGGUACCCCCUAAAACAUAUGACUAUCCUUUGUUAGAUAAAAAUAAAAAAGAGGGCUGAAAUUUCAGUCGAAAUGGCUUGAUGAAUUUUCUUGGCUUGUGUAUUCUGAAAUAAAAAAUGGAGCGUUUUGUAAAUUUUGUGCUAUUUUUUCAAAAUCUGGUGGAGCUUUAAAUCGGCCACUUGGGCAGCUUGUACUAGUAGAAUUUAACAAUUGGAAAAAAGCUAAACAGGUGUUUCAAAAUCAUUGUAUGUAAGGAUUUAAUUGUAUUUUUAAAUCCACAAGUAUUAUCAUCGAAAAAGAGGAUAGAAAUACUUUUCUAAAGCUUACAGAGUUUUAUUCCUCCAUAAUUGAU
This is a long non-coding RNA of Daktulosphaira vitifoliae (grape phylloxera), 553 nucleotides long. RefSeq lists it as uncharacterized. The record is from RefSeq and is a predicted model, not a curated record. The transcript has 3 exons. NCBI's taxonomy places the organism in Eukaryota, Metazoa, Arthropoda, Insecta, Hemiptera, Phylloxeridae.